CAACUACUCCCUCUGUCCCAAAUUUCUUGUCUUAGAUUUGUCUAGAUGCGGAUGUAUGAUACAUCCGCAUCUAGACAAAUCUAAGACAAGAAUUUUGGGACGGAGGGAGUACUUU
Non-coding RNA from Triticum aestivum (bread wheat), 115 nucleotides. NCBI's taxonomy places the organism in Eukaryota, Viridiplantae, Streptophyta, Magnoliopsida, Poales, Poaceae. The record is from Rfam.